AAUAAAACCAAAACUUCUGAAUCAAGUAGCGGGAUUCACCUUCUAGAAAGAAACUCCACGUUAAUGCUUCCUUCUCCUUCUCCUCCUUCUUCUUCUUCCAUCAUCACUCUAUUAAUUACUAAAACUGCCAUCAUCAUCCAUCCAUGUGCUCUCAACCACUUGCUCCUAUAUAUACGGCUUCUUCCACAACAAGACAAAAAAAAAUUAAAACUCCAUUAAAGCUUAUACACACCAAAACCUCUCUCUCUCUCUUUCUCUUAAACGCUCUUUUCAUUUGUCAACUGUAAAAUGGAGAGAGACGAUGAUUCUUAUAACGCUUACACGGCGUCGUUUUCGCCUAGCUUCAGUACUUAUUCAGGUGAUCGUCUUUCAGAGAUCGCCGAACGAGUUUGUUACAGAGAGAAAUCAGACGAAGAAUUCGAGUUUUCCACAACCGCCGCACCGCCGCCUACGUCAUCUUCUUCCGGCGAACUACUAUUCCCUGUUUUUAACAAAAAUCUUAUUUCAGGCGAAACAUCACCGGAGAAAACGGUUAUAAUUCCGUUAAAAGAUCUGUUUCUCCGCGAAAAAGAAGUAAAUCAACCACCACAACAACAGACGUAUUCAUCUUCUUCCGACGACGACGACGAAGAAGACGAGUUCGAAGAGCUCCCAAGCGAGAUCUACUGUCCAUGGACACCAGC
RNAcentral lists this long non-coding RNA (683 nucleotides) under Capsella grandiflora. RNAcentral describes it as "long non-coding RNA (CGRA_LNC001320)". The record is from RNAcentral. Lineage: Eukaryota; Viridiplantae; Streptophyta; Magnoliopsida; Brassicales; Brassicaceae.